This is a long non-coding RNA of Capra hircus (goat), 366 nucleotides long. RefSeq lists it as uncharacterized. The record is from RefSeq and is a predicted model, not a curated record. NCBI's taxonomy places the organism in Eukaryota, Metazoa, Chordata, Mammalia, Artiodactyla, Bovidae. The transcript is spliced from 3 exons.
UACUGAAAGCAACCUAAACCCUCCAUCAGUAGGGGGCUGAUUAACGACACCAGCACAAUCCUAUAAUGGAAUACUGUACUCUGCUGCUAUAAAGAACAGUGUGGAACCUUCUCUAAGGUUUAUUAGCUGAGAAAAGCGAGGUUCCAAACAGUAUAUUCCUCUUUGCAUAAAAAGGCAGGGUGUGCGGAGCCUGGGGUGUCGUCCUUGCAUGGACCCCCACGACUACCCCAGCCCUCAUGCUGCACAGAUGACACCAGCAGAGCUGCGCACCGCCUGCCCAGACUCCAGCCCUGGACACAGAGUGAGCCAGACCCAGCCCUCAGGUCUACUGGUUAGGAAUCCGCCUGCCAAUGCGGGGGACACAGG